UACGUAGGUGGCAAGCGCUAUCCGGAUUUACUGGGUGUAAAGGGCGUGUAGGCGGGGACGCAAGUCAGAUGUGAAAACCACGGGCUCAACCUGUGGCCUGCAUUUGAAACUGUGUUUCUUGAGUACUGGAGAGGCAGACGGAAUUCCUAGUGUAGCGGUGAAAUGCGUAGAUAUUAGGAGGAACACCAGUGGCGAAGGCGGUCUGCUGGACAGCAACUGACGCUGAGGCGCGAAAGCGUGGGGAGCAAACAGG
Molecule: ribosomal RNA, 253 nt
Filed under: uncultured bacterium
Lineage: Bacteria
Description: partial 16S ribosomal RNA
Rfam family: Bacterial small subunit ribosomal RNA
Source: RNAcentral